This 409-nucleotide ribosomal RNA is filed under the name Fusobacteriota bacterium. Its description in RNAcentral is "Fusobacteria bacterium partial 16S ribosomal RNA". It matches the Rfam family "Bacterial small subunit ribosomal RNA", at positions 355 to 776 of the family's 1533-position model. The record is from RNAcentral. Lineage: Bacteria; Fusobacteriati; Fusobacteriota.
UGGGGAAUAUUGCACAAUGGAGGGAACUCUGAUGCAGCAACGCCGCGUGCGGGAUGACGGCCUUCGGGUUGUAAACCGCUUUCAGCCAUGACGAAGCUUUUGUGACGGUAGUGGUAGAAGAAGCACCGGCUAACUACGUGCCAGCAGCCGCGGUGAUACGUAGGGUGCGAGCGUUGUCCGGAAUUAUUGGGCGUAAAGAGCUUGUUGGCGGUUUGUCGCGUCGAAAGUGUAAACUCAGUGCUUAACGCUGAGCCUGCUUUCGAUACGGGCUGACUAGAGGAGGGUAGGGGAGAAUGGAAUUCCCGGUGGAGCGGUGGAAUGCGCAGAUAUCGGGAGGAACACCAGUGGCGAAGGCGGUUCUCUGGACCUUUCCUGACGCUGAGAAGCGAAAGCGUGGGUAGCAAACAGG